This 693-nucleotide long non-coding RNA is filed under the name Homo sapiens (human). RNAcentral describes it as "non-protein coding lnc-RFX8-2:1". The record is from RNAcentral. Lineage: Eukaryota; Metazoa; Chordata; Mammalia; Primates; Hominidae.
UUUAUGAGAAGUAUACAGCCACAGAAGUUGUUGCUGACACUCUGAGUGAAGAAUGGAAAGGUUCUGUGAUGGGAAUCAGCGACAGGAACGACAAACAAGCUUUCCCAUGAAGCAGGGUGUUUGACUCAUGGCUGGGUCUGUGUACUACUGAGCAAGGGGCAUUCCUGUUACAGAGCAAGGAGAACUGGGGCAAGAAGCACGAAGCUGUUUGCAGUUGCAUUGUGGAUGCCAAUCCAAGCUUUCUAAACUUCGUUAUUAUGAAAAAAAAAAAGAGGAUAGAAGGAUAUUCCUGGACUGACUGAUACUGUGGAGCAUCAUCGCCUGGGGCCCAAAAGAGCUAGCAGAAUCCACAAACUUUUCAGUUUCUCUAAAGAAGAUAGUGUCCACCAAUCUGUUGUUAAGAAAGCCCUUAAAGAAGGCAAAAAACCUGGGACCAAAGCACCCAAGAUUCAGCUUCUUGUUACUCCAUGUGUCUUGCAACACAAAUGCUGGCGUAUUGCUCUGAAGAAACAGUGUACUAAGAAAAAUGAGGAAGAGGCUGCAAAAUACGCUGAACUUUUGGCCAAGAGAAUGAAGGAGGCCAAAGACAAACUCCAGGAACAGAUUGCCAAGAGAUGCACACUGUCCUCUCUGUGAGAUUCAACUUCUGAGUCCAGCCAAAAUUAGGAUUCUUUUAAGUAACCAAUAAAUAAG